Molecule: ribosomal RNA, 432 nt
Filed under: uncultured bacterium
Lineage: Bacteria
Description: partial 16S ribosomal RNA
Rfam family: Bacterial small subunit ribosomal RNA
Source: RNAcentral
AACGAACGCUGGCGGCAUGCCUAACACAUGCAAGUCGAACGAGACCUUCGGGUCUAGUGGCGCACGGGUGCGUAACGCGUGGGAACCUGCCCUUAGGUUCGGAAUAACUCCCCGAAAGGGGUGCUAAUACCGGAUAAUGUCUUCGGACCAAAGAUUUAUCGCCUUUGGAUGGGCCCGCGUUGGAUUAGCUAGUUGGUAGGGUAAAAGCCUACCAAGGCGACGAUCCAUAGCUGGUCUGAGAGGAUGAUCAGCCACACUGGGACUGAGACACGGCCCAGACCCCCACGGAGGGCAGAAGGGGGGAAAUUGGGACAGUGGGCGAAAGCCUAAUCCAGCAAUGCCGGGGGAGUGAGGAAGGCCUUAGGGUUGAAAGGCUCUUUUACCCGGGAUGAAAAUGACGGUCCCGGGAAAAAAAGCCCCGCCUAACUCCGU